CUUUCGGUUCCUCGCAAUGAUGUCUGGUUUACCCGGUCAGGUUCGGAAGAAAGCAGCCAAGGUCAGAAUUUUCGUGUGCCGAGAUCAAGCUGGGAGGGUU
RNAcentral lists this signal recognition particle RNA (100 nucleotides) under Pasteurella bettyae CCUG 2042. RNAcentral describes it as "Bacterial signal recognition particle RNA". It matches the Rfam family "Bacterial small signal recognition particle RNA". From Rfam's summary of the family: The signal recognition particle (SRP) is a universally conserved ribonucleoprotein involved in the co-translational targeting of proteins to membranes. Archaeal SRP consists of a 7S RNA and homologues of the eukaryotic SRP19 and SRP54 proteins. Lineage: Bacteria; Pseudomonadati; Pseudomonadota; Gammaproteobacteria; Pasteurellales; Pasteurellaceae. The record is from RNAcentral.